RNAcentral lists this ribosomal RNA (406 nucleotides) under bacterium Ellin5226. RNAcentral's name for it is "bacterial SSU rRNA". It matches the Rfam family "Bacterial small subunit ribosomal RNA", at positions 29 to 460 of the family's 1533-position model. The record is from RNAcentral. Lineage: Bacteria; Pseudomonadati; Pseudomonadota; Alphaproteobacteria; Hyphomicrobiales; Nitrobacteraceae.
AGCGAACGCUGGCGGCAGGCUUAACACAUGCAAGUCGAGCGGGCGUAGCAAUACGUCAGCGGCAGACGGGUGAGUAACGCGUGGGAACGUACCUUUUGGUUCGGAACAACACAGGGAAACUUGUGCUAAUACCGGAUAAGCCCUUACGGGGAAAGAUUUAUCGCCGAAAGAUCGGCCCGCGUCUGAUUAGCUAGUUGGUGAGGUAAUGGCUCACCAAGGCGACGAUCAGUAGCUGGUCUGAGAGGAUGAUCAGCCACAUUGGGACUGAGACACGGCCCAAACUCCUACGGGAGGCAGCAGUGGGGAAUAUUGGACAAUGGGCGCAAGCCUGAUCCAGCCAUGCCGCGUGAGUGAUGAAGGCCCUAGGGUUGUAAAGCUCUUUUGUGCGGGAACAUAAUGUCGGUCC